Molecule: ribosomal RNA, 450 nt
Filed under: uncultured bacterium
Lineage: Bacteria
Description: bacterial SSU rRNA
Rfam family: Bacterial small subunit ribosomal RNA
Source: RNAcentral
CUCCCAGACUCCUACGGGAGGCAGCAGUGGGGGAUAUUGCACAAUGGGGGGAACCCUGAUGCAGCGACGCCGCGUGGGUGAAGGAGUGCUUCGGCAUGUAAAGCCCUAUCGGCAGGGAAGAAGCAAGACGGUACCUGACUAAGAAGCCCCGGCUAACUACGUGCCAGCAGCCGCGGUAAUACGUAGGGGGCAAGCGUUAUCCGGAUUUACUGGGUGUAAAGGGAGCGUAGACGGUGAUGCAAGUCAGAAGUGAAAGCCCGGGGCUCAACUCCGGGACUGCUUUUGAAACUGUGUGACUGGAGUGCAGGAGAGGUAAGCGGAAUUCCUGGUGUAGCGGUGAAAUGCGUAGAUAUCAGGAGGAACACCAGUGGCGAAGGCGGCUUACUGGACUGUAACCGACGUUGAGGCUCGAAAGCGUGGGGAGCAAACAGGAUUAGAUACCCGCGUAUA